This 1005-nucleotide ribosomal RNA is filed under the name Mycobacterium avium. Its description in RNAcentral is "partial 23S ribosomal RNA". It matches the Rfam family "Bacterial large subunit ribosomal RNA", at positions 1699 to 2684 of the family's 2925-position model. Lineage: Bacteria; Bacillati; Actinomycetota; Actinomycetes; Mycobacteriales; Mycobacteriaceae. The record is from RNAcentral.
CUAUGGUUAAGGAACUCGGCAAAAUGCCCCCGUAACUUCGGGAGAAGGGGGGCCGGAAUACCGUGAACACCCUUGCGGUGGGAGCGGGAUUCGGCCGCAGAAACCAGUGGGUAGCGACUGUUUACUAAAAACACAGGUCCGUGCGAAGUCGCAAGACGAUGUAUACGGACUGACGCCUGCCCGGUGCUGGAAGGUUAAGAGGACCCGUUAACCCGUAAGGGUGAAGCGGAGAAUUUAAGCCCCAGUAAACGGCGGUGGUAACUAUAACCAUCCUAAGGUAGCGAAAUUCCUUGUCGGGUAAGUUCCGACCUGCACGAAUGGCGUAACGACUUCCCAACUGUCUCAACCAUAGACUCGGCGAAAUUGCACUACGAGUAAAGAUGCUCGUUACGCGCGGCAGGACGAAAAGACCCCGGGACCUUCACUACAACUUGGUAUUGGUGUUCGGUACGGUUUGUGUAGGAUAGGUGGGAGACUUUGAAGCACAGACGCCAGUUUGUGUGGAGUCGUUGUUGAAAUACCACUCUGAUCGUAUUGGACACCUAACGUCGAACCCUUAUCGGGUUCACGGACAGUGCCUGGCGGGUAGUUUAACUGGGGCGGUUGCCUCCUAAAAUGUAACGGAGGCGCCCAAAGGUUCCCUCAACCUGGACGGCAAUCAGGUGGCGAGUGUAAGUGCACAAGGGAGCUUGACUGCGAGACUUGCAAGUCAAGCAGGGACGAAAGUCGGGACUAGUGAUCCGGCACCCCCGAGUGGAAGGGGUGUCGCUCAACGGAUAAAAGGUACCCCGGGGAUAACAGGCUGAUCUUCCCCAAGAGUCCAUAUCGACGGGAUGGUUUGGCACCUCGAUGUCGGCUCGUCGCAUCCUGGGGCUGGAGCAGGUCCCAAGGGUUGGGCUGUUCGCCCAUUAAAGCGGCACGCGAGCUGGGUUUAAAACGUCGUGAGACAGUUCGGUCUCUAUCCGCCGCGCGCGUCAGAAACUUGAGGAAACCUGUCCCUAGUAC